CCCCAUAAACGAGGAAUUCCUAGUAAGCGCGAGUCAUAAGCUCGCGUUGAUUACGUCCCUGCCCUUUGUACACACCGCCCGUCGCUACUACCGAUUGAAUGAUUUAGUGAGGUCUUCGGACCGACACGCGGUGGCUUCACGGCCGUCGGCGUUGCUGGGAAGUUGACCAAACUUGAUCAUUUAGAGGAAGUAAAAGUCGUAACAAGGUUUCCGUAGGGGAACCUGCGGAAGGAUCAUUA
RNAcentral lists this ribosomal RNA (239 nucleotides) under Spodoptera exigua (beet armyworm). RNAcentral describes it as "partial 18S ribosomal RNA". It matches the Rfam family "Eukaryotic small subunit ribosomal RNA", at positions 1595 to 1831 of the family's 1831-position model. Lineage: Eukaryota; Metazoa; Arthropoda; Insecta; Lepidoptera; Noctuidae. RNAcentral also lists the same sequence under 6 other names. The record is from RNAcentral.